RNAcentral lists this long non-coding RNA (760 nucleotides) under Betta splendens (Siamese fighting fish). RNAcentral's name for it is "lncRNA (ENSBSLG00000015903.1)". The record is from RNAcentral. Lineage: Eukaryota; Metazoa; Chordata; Actinopteri; Anabantiformes; Osphronemidae.
ACUUCUGUUGUUACUGUAGGUGCUGCUAUAGGAGAGAGUUGAGACAGACUGCUUUUAUCAGGGACUACAGCCUCCAUCAGAUCAGUCUCUGUGGACACUUCCUGCCUUGGGUCAAACCAAUCACCUUACCUCCACCUACCUCUGGCUGUUACCACUCUACCUGCCUCCAUUGUCCUGGCUUUUGCCUCCUGGCUCUCACGUCGGUGGGUGGAGCGGUACAGCGGGUCCUCCGGAGGAAAAGUCAUUCAGAGGCGCCGUUUGACAUUUGAUGGCAUCAGCACAAAACAGGCUGAUGGUUCUGCCUCCUGGCAUUCUCCUCCAUAAAAAGGAAGGGGUUUUAGCCAAAAGAUUCACGGUCGUUUCUGACAGAUAACUGCAGCUGGUUAACAUCUGUCUAUUGAUCGUCUUUCUUGUAGAUGUUUCUGUUUUGAUUGUUGUAGACGUGUUGCAUCCAUUCCUGUAGCUGUUUUGUGGGUUUUAUCUGUUUCUUCUGUUUCUUUUGAUUAUUUCUUAGCAUAUCUUUCCUAUGUUUUACAUCUCUUUAUGCUAAUUUCUGUAGCUGUGGAUGUUUUUCAUGCCUUUGGUUGUUUUGUCUUCCUGUGAUUUUGCUGCGUUUAAGUGUUCACUUUGUGUCUUUGUGGAUUUAUUGCAUAUCUUUUUGUCUGUUUACACCUGUGGUGGAAAUGUCUCAUAAAGAUAAGAUUUGUCUUUUGUGUGAUUUAUUCUAAAAAUAAAGGAAAAUAAAAAUAAUGGGAAAGCA